GUUUCUAGAGAAUUACAUCAUUACCAUCAUUCUAGAUGUUUCUAAAAAAUUGAAGCAUGUUCUAACAUAUAACUGACUUGCUUCCAACUUUUCUUCCCCAUGUUCAGUUGUGAUUUCAUCUUCCCAGGUAACCAUCAUUCCAUUUUUCUUGUACCAAACAUUCUUUAAGGCUAGGUUCUUGAGAUUUGGGAACCAUGCCUUAAUAUGUCUUGGUUUCUAGCAUUCAUAAGACAAUUCAUCAUCUUCUUCAGACUCAUCUGAGUUUGACUAAUCAGAUUUCUUAGUGGACUCAUCAACCAGUGUUCUAAAAUGUGUUCCGCAAUACAUAACGCGGACGCAACAAUGUGGAUGCGGCCAGCAACGCAUCAACAACGCAUCGCAAUUGCAGUGUGAUUGAAUUUCAC
Molecule: non-coding RNA, 404 nt
Organism: Lupinus albus (white lupine)
Lineage: Eukaryota; Viridiplantae; Streptophyta; Magnoliopsida; Fabales; Fabaceae
Source: the annotation of a GenBank genome assembly